RNAcentral lists this ribosomal RNA (207 nucleotides) under uncultured bacterium. RNAcentral describes it as "partial 16S ribosomal RNA". It matches the Rfam family "Bacterial small subunit ribosomal RNA", at positions 568 to 774 of the family's 1533-position model. The record is from RNAcentral.
UGCGUAGGUGGUUGGUUAAGUUUGAGGCGAAAGCUCCGAGCUCAACUCGGAAAAUGCCUUGAAGACUAUCUGACUAGAGGAUUGGAGGGGAGAUUGGAAUUCUCGGUGUAGCAGUGAAAUGCGUAGAUAUCGAGAGGAACACCAGUGGCGAAGGCGAAUCUCUGGACAAUUCCUGACACUGAGGCACGAAAGCCAAGGGAGCAAACG